RNAcentral lists this ribosomal RNA (468 nucleotides) under uncultured bacterium. Its description in RNAcentral is "partial 16S ribosomal RNA". It matches the Rfam family "Bacterial small subunit ribosomal RNA", at positions 28 to 507 of the family's 1533-position model. The record is from RNAcentral.
GACGAACGCUGGCGGCGUGCUUAACACAUGCAAGUCGAACGGAAAGGCCCUGCUUUUGUGGGGUGCUCGAGUGGCGAACGGGUGAGUAACACGUGAGUAACCUGCCCUUGACUUUGGGAUAACUUCAGGAAACUGGGUCUAAUACCUGAUAGGAGCUCCUGCUGCAUGGUGGGGGUUGGAAAGUUUCGGCGGUUGGGGCUGGACUCGCGGCUUAUCAGCUUGUUGGUGGGGUAGUGGCUUACCAAGGCUUUGACGGGUAGCCGGCCUGAGAGGGUGACCGGCCACAAUGGGACUGAGAGACGGCCCAGACUGCUACGGGAGGCAGCAGUGGGGAAUAUUGCACAAUGGGCGGAAGCCUGAUGCAGCAACGCCGCGUGCGGGAUGACGGCCUUCGGGUUGUAAACCGCUUUCGCCUGUGACGAAGCGUGAGUGACGGUAAUGGGUAAAGAAGCACCGGCUAACUACGUG